Molecule: long non-coding RNA, 1535 nt
Organism: Rosa chinensis
Lineage: Eukaryota; Viridiplantae; Streptophyta; Magnoliopsida; Rosales; Rosaceae
Exons: 8
Source: RefSeq, a predicted model, not a curated record
UUCUACCAAAACCAAGAACUCACAAUCUCUACCAAAACCAAAAACUCACAAUCUCUCACUAGCCCCGCAAGCUCUCACCGUAAACUGUCACCAUUUUCAACUCACCACCGUAUUCUCUCAUCAAAACACCAUCACUGGCAUCCUGCAACCUCUCCUCAGUUUGCGUAUGGACGGUUCGAUUCUACCCAUCGAUGUCGGUUCGAUUCUACUCAUUGGUUUGGGUUCGAUUCUCCUCAGUUUGAUUAGAGUUCAGCUUAGUUUGUAUUGGGAAGAAGGUGGAGGAGAAAGGGGUUUUGAUUAGGGUUCUUCAUUUUGGGGAUUUCUGAGCAACUCGAUUUAGGGCUUUCUCGAAGCAAUUGAUUUGUGUUCUAUUAAUGCUCUUUGUCGAAUUGGAAUGAUGAAGACGGAGAUAUUGACCCUUGCUCUUGGUUACACAAUUUUCUCAGUCUUCUUCUCUCCCCGAAAUAUAAAGUCCAUGGGUCCACGCCAACCUCCGCGUCCCACUCACAAGUAAAUCUGCUAUCCAUUCAAACUAUCGAAGCUCCCAGCUCCUAGCCCAAGCCAGAUCUGCCGCCUCCAAGUCCUCCCUUACCAAGUGAAGGAAAAUGCUUAAAGGUUGUAUCUUGUGCAGGUUUAGCUUUGGAGUUUUAGAGAGAGUAGUGACUGACCCAUUUAGUGGUUUGUCGAAUUGGAAUGAUGAAGACAGAGAUAUUGACCCUUGCUCUUGGUUUGGGGUUGAAUGCUUAGAUGGAAAAAUUGUGGUCUUAUUCAAAUCAGCCCACCAUCAAAGUGUGAGCUCAGCAAGACAGUAAGCUUCAUCAGCCUCUGUGCACAACUAUAUAUUGAAGACCUUUGUCAUGGAAAGAUGUCAAAAAAAGAAGCAAUUAGGCUUUCAAAUAUAUUUCUGCUCACCUCAUUAGAGAUGCCAGUUUCAAGAAUAAAUCUGAAAUAAAUUCGGUGAUUGAGUGUUCUAUUAAUGCUCUUUGGUGCUUGGACGAGUUGAGCUUUUGCAAAGGAGGUUGUUGAGGAAAUCAUUAUAUUUCUGAAUAAGAAAAAAGACCAACUGGAAGCCCAAGCAAUGGUAGUUGAGCAAAAAAUCUAGGGAUUGAAAUUAAAAGCAGAAGAUGAGUACAUAUUAAAGGAGCUGACUAUUGUUAGACAGAGUUUUCUUGUUGGAGAGCUGUUAUUGUUGGCUGUGCUGCUAUUGCUGGAGUUGUAAGGAGCUAGCUUGACUGUAGGAGAGGAGAGGCAACAGUCAAUAUACCAAAGCAGACAUAGACAUGAUGCGAAAUGAAUGGGCAAAGUAUGUCGUGAAGGCGUAUGUGUAGGAGCUAAAGGAAAGCAUAAGAGGAAGUAGGUUGUUGCUGAAGGAAAGCAUCAUUUUUGUGCUUCUCUGCUGGUACAAUAUUCAUGCACUGUGUGGCAUGUUUUGUAACAAAUAAUUUGUAUUUAUAUCAGCUUUUGAUGUCCCAAAUAGAUGGGCAUGCAGUUGAAUGCUUUUCUUCUUUCAAUGUUGGCUUGGAUGAAUGGGAAAU